UUGUAAACUCGAUCUCAAAUCA
Molecule: ribosomal RNA, 22 nt
Filed under: Mortierellales sp. GD18C
Lineage: Eukaryota; Fungi; Mortierellomycota; Mortierellomycetes; Mortierellales
Description: partial 25S ribosomal RNA
Source: RNAcentral